GGGCUUGUGGUACAGUGGUAGCACGUUCGCUUAGCAUCUCAUUGUAUAUGCGAAAGGUCCUGGGUUCAAUUCCCAGCAAGUCCA
This 84-nucleotide transfer RNA is filed under the name Schizophyllum amplum. RNAcentral describes it as "Auriculariopsis ampla tRNA". It matches the Rfam family "tRNA". From Rfam's summary of the family: Transfer RNA (tRNA) molecules are approximately 80 nucleotides in length. Their secondary structure includes four short double-helical elements and three loops (D, anti-codon, and T loops). The record is from Rfam by way of RNAcentral. Lineage: Eukaryota; Fungi; Basidiomycota; Agaricomycetes; Agaricales; Schizophyllaceae.